ACCAGGUCAAAAAGAUAUUAUUUUAUUUUAAUUAAUUUAUUAUUAUUAUUUUGGAGACAGGGUCUGGCUCUGUCUCCCAGGCCGAAAUGCUGUGUCAUGAUCUUGGCUCACCGCAACCUCCACCUCCCGGGUUCAAAUGAUUCUCCUGCCUCAGCCUCCGGAGUAGCUGGGAUUAUAGGCGUCCGCCACUAUGCCUGGGCUAAUUUUUGUAUUUUUAGUAGAGACAGGGUUUCGCCACAUUGCUCAGGCUGGUCUCGAACUCCUGACCUCAAGUGAUCCACCUGCCUCGGCAUCCCAAAAUGCUGGGAUUAUAGAUGUGAGCCACCGCGCCCAGCUAAAAAGAUAUUUUAAUAAUAUGAAUGCAACUCUGCAUGUGCAUGAAAUGCAAAGGUGACAGGGUGUUAUGAAAAUGUCUCCCUUCCCUCUAUUUUCUAGUCACCCAGAUUUCCUAUUAAGAAAAAAAAAUUGUCAUUAGUUUCUUAACCAAUGGGUUUUAAACCAGACUUCCUGACAUCUGUAAGAUCUUGGCUUGGGCUCGCGGCCUCGGUGAGGCUGGAAGGGUCUUUGUGUGAGCUCAGGACGGCGCUGGACAGGUGGGCCCUGGCUCCAGCUCCGGCUGCAGCGUCUUCCCCGCGCUCCCGAGCCUAUCCCUCGGGCGCCGGCCUGGGCUGUCCAGCGAGAGGGGCGGAGGGGCAGGGCCCCGGGCUAGGUCCAGGCCCGCAGCUGGCAUCAGGGGGGGCCUGGGUGGGAAGACCGGUUGGGGUGGGGGUGCACAGACCCGGGGAAUCUGAGACGCAAGGUUUCCGGCUCUUGGCCGCUAGUGAGGAAGGCUCGAGGCCGAUCCUGGCCCAAAGCAGGGCGCCGGGCCAUUGUCAGUCCUGGGAAGGGGGAUUGGGAGGAGCCCCAGAGGGGCGGCCAUUCCCUGGGGCGGCGUGGAAGGGAGGCAGCACCUCCAGGCGACAAGUAGAGCUGGGCCCUGGCGGGCUGCCACGGGGGUGUCUGGCAGUCUCUCCUGGGUCUAGGGCUGUUCCUCUGAGGUCACGAGGUGGUCCUUCGGGUGUGUCUGGGUUGGGAAGAUAAAACCAGCACGUGUAAUGUAAUACAUGACAAUGGAAGAUUCUACGUAAUUAAGGGUUAACUCUGAAAUCAGAAGACAAGUUUUCCAAGACUUGGGAAGGUGGAGAGAUCAGAGAUCAGUGAGAGAACAAAGAAUCGGGUAAGUAUUUCAAGAAGAGGCGCGUCUUACAGUGUGGAUCACAUUUCUGUAUGGGUGAGGUGGCUCACGCCUGUAAUCCUAACAUUUUUUUUUUUUUUUUUUUUGUGACUGAGUCUCGCUCUGUAGCCCAGGCUGGAGUGCAGUGGUGCAAUCUUGGUUCACUGCAACCUCCGCCUCUAACACUUUGGGAGGCCGAGGUGGGCGGAUGGCUUGAGUCCAGGAAUUCAAGACCAGCCUAGG
Molecule: long non-coding RNA, 1456 nt
Filed under: Homo sapiens (human)
Lineage: Eukaryota; Metazoa; Chordata; Mammalia; Primates; Hominidae
Description: long non-coding RNA NONHSAT178226.1
Source: RNAcentral